RNAcentral lists this ribosomal RNA (499 nucleotides) under uncultured Oscillospiraceae bacterium. RNAcentral describes it as "bacterial SSU rRNA". It matches the Rfam family "Bacterial small subunit ribosomal RNA", at positions 9 to 507 of the family's 1533-position model. Lineage: Bacteria; Bacillati; Bacillota; Clostridia; Eubacteriales; Oscillospiraceae. The record is from RNAcentral.
AAGUUUGAUCCUGGCUCAGGAUGAACGCUGCGGCGUGCUUAACACAUGCAAGUCGAACGAGAAUCAGUGGAUUGAGGAUUCGUCCAAAAUGAAACUGAGGAAAGUGGCGACGGGUGAGUAACGCGUGAGCAAUCUGCCUUGGAGUGGGGAAUAACGGCUGGAAACAGCCGCUAAUACCGCAUGAUACAGUUGGGAGGCAUCUCUCUGACUGUCAAAGAUUUAUCGCUCUGAGAUGAGCUCGCGUCUGAUUAGCUGGUUGGCGGGGUAACGGCCCACCAAGGCGACGAUCAGUAGCCGGACUGAGAGGUUGGCCGGCCACAUUGGGACUGAGACACGGCCCAGACUCCUACGGGAGGCAGCAGUGGGGAAUAUUGGGCAAUGGGCGCAAGCCCGACCCAGCAACGCCGCGUGAAGGAAGAAGGCUUUCGGGUUGUAAACUUCUUUUCUGGGGGACGAACAAAUGACGGUACCCCAGGAAUAAGCCACGGCUAACUACGUG